RNAcentral lists this ribosomal RNA (466 nucleotides) under uncultured bacterium. RNAcentral describes it as "partial 16S ribosomal RNA". It matches the Rfam family "Bacterial small subunit ribosomal RNA", at positions 330 to 792 of the family's 1533-position model. The record is from RNAcentral.
UCCAGACUCCUACGGGAGGCAGCAGUGAGGAAUAUUGGUCAAUGGGCGCGAGCCUGAACCAGCCAAGUCGCGUGAGGGAGGACGGCCCUACGGGUUGUAAACCUCUUUUGCCGGGGAGCAACGGGCGUCACGUGUGGCGCCACUGAGAGUACCCGGAGAAAAAGCAUCGGCUAACUCCGUGCCAGCAGCCGCGGUAAUACGGAGGAUGCGAGCGUUAUCCGGAUUUAUUGGGUUUAAAGGGUGCGUAGGUUGUUUUUUAAGUCAGCGGUGAAAGUUUGUGGCUCAACCAUAAAAUUGCCGUUGAAACUGGAAGACUUGAGUGUGUUUGAGGUAGGCGGAAUGCGUGGUGUAGCGGUGAAAUGCAUAGAUAUCACACAGAACUCCGAUUGCGAAGGCAGCUUACUAAGCCAUAACUGACACUGAAGCACGAAAGCGUGGGGAUCAAACAGGAUUAGAUACCCUGGUA